GUGACGGUUGUCAAAUCCAAUUUGACAAAACAAAGUCGCCUGUAUCUAAGUUAGCCGAGCGUUUUCAUCUUCUCACCUUCGCUGAAAAUGUCAAAGAUUUCAAUGUGGAAAAAUCCUGGUGGAUACGGUUGUAUCGUUUGAGUUGUAUAUCUGGCAGCGGUGAGGCAGUCAGUCACCAGAAUGUCUGCCAGCCAUAUUUUCCAGCUGGCAGCCAUGCGUAUGUGGGAAGCAGUAAAUGCCAGAGUGACUAGAUUGUUUUUUAUUCAAUCGAAUAAUAACAUUAAAAGUUUAAAAACGUAUUAAUGUUACAUAUUAGUUUCAAUAUUGUUUCUUGCAAAACAAUUAUAAAUAAAACAAGCAAUUUCUAUACAUCGGUUCUAUGUUACUAAUAUACUGUGUUAAUACCAGUACAUCAGUCUGACAAUCAAGUAUCUGUUUUUAAGGUUAUCGACGUCGACAAUAUAUUUCAAGCUACACAAAUUGGAAAGAAAAUAAUGGAAAUAUUAAAAACUGAUUCUAAUCCAAAUGAACAAUGCUUAAAAUCAAUCAAAAAUGUGUUAUGUGAUUAUCUUCGAGCAAAUUAUAGAUUGCGCCCUUCUUCGUUCUAUAAAAAUAUGUUAGCGCAGUCUCUAGUUUCUAAAUAUCCGGCUCUUGCUUCAGCGACAGGCGAUGUUCCUCAAGCACUUUGGUUUCAUCCUAACGCUCGUGGUAAAAACCGACAUUCGGGACGACUGCAUUACCAUAUGGAAUAUCUCGCGCGUAGGUCAGGGGAAAGAGUAAUCGUACGGAACAAUGUGCAGGACCAUCUUGACGUAGUACCUCUCAUACUUCCAAGCACAUCAGCAAACGAUAUUGACGAACUGAAACUUGAACUGAAGUUUCUGUGUUCUGGACCAACUACGAAGACACGAGCAGCAGAAUUAUGGCAUCUCACUUUCGCUGAUCGUAAUUUUCACCGCCAACGCGAAGAAAUGAGAACUUACCUUGAAGAUAAUCCCGUAUCAAUUGCUUUCAACGGAUAAUAGGUCAAUAAUGUACUCUACUUUUUCUAAAAUUCUCAAUGAUUACAUUAGACUUCGAAAGGCUUGGACAAGGCGUAAAAGAUAUUGAAGAGCGAUUCAAUAUUUUGAAACUGACGAUUCUUCACAAAUACCGGGAAUUGUAUCAACAUAUUGCAGAUGAAACUACUAGAAUACUGGCGAUAAUUCGAAAGUGUAAUUCUUCUCGUGGUGCUAAAAGAACAAAGGAUGUAGAUACAGAAAAAAUAAACCAGUUAAACGGUAUAAUUCAGUGGUUAAAAGUUGAUGACCCGUUUUCUGUGGUUAAUUCCUAUAUCUCGAUACAACUUUACAAAGCUGAAGGAGGAGCUAUUAUUUGGCGCGAUCUUUAAAUUCCAGUAGAGGGAGAUCGACGACACGACCUGCCACUCGUCUAUUAAAACUGUAUCGUAAAUUUAACUACCCCUCAGUAACUGGUAAUGUCAAAACGUAAUCCCUUGAAAAAAAUUUGAAACUGGCAACACAUGUUGAUAAAUUAUUGAUUUUAAUUAACAGUUACCGUAACCUUGGUUACUGCAUUUUGAAGACAUGAGAAAUGUAAACAAAACAAACUGCAAAUCGGAUAUUUUAAAGCGAAUAAUUAAAAUAGAUUUUCCGAGUGGAAUAUCUUUUCCCUUGGACACUGCUUCAGCAUCAGAGCAAAGGAUCGACUAGUCAUUCGGAUUUGCUAAAAGAAUUCUUCUGUUGUGAAAACCGAAAAGGAUCCACUUGCAAUUGAACGAACGAAGUUUUCUACGGAUAUAAAAUCCUUCAAGUUUGAGUUAUGCAUUUUUUUCCAUGAAUUGUAUUGAUAUACUAACAUUGCCCAUUGAUAAAAUAAUUGGGUUAAAAAUAAUGUGAACUGUAAGUGUACUUUCCAUUGCAAGCGAUAACCAGUGAUCGUAAGACGACGCAAAAAACUUUAGAAAGCUUGAAAGUCGAACAAUUACUGAUGGAGAAGCGAAAAGAAUUUCUUAAUUAUACUUAUAAGAAUUAUUCAUUAUUAUUAUAAAAUCCGUGUAUUGCACUUAUUGUCAGAAGAAACCAAGUGAGGGAGAAACAUUUUCUUCAAGCAAUAAUAUAAUACUUCUCGAAUUAUACUAUUUUUUAUGCGUAAUUCUCAUCUUGUGAUUGAAAGUCCUAUCAAAAGUAUUGGUUUUGUUUUUUAGCCUUGCAUCGAUUGUGGCACAAGAAAUUAGAUGAUGAUUAGUACAGUUGCUUUGAAUACGAAAGAUUUUUAAAGAAAAAAACGUAACGUGGAAUUUAAAAGUUGCUGUUUCGUUUUUAUUUAUUUUACUUUCUUUUUCAUAAAAAUAUUGAUAUUAUAAAUCCGUCUCCUGUGCUUUGCCUGUUAACUGACUGUUAAUGUCCCAAUUCAGGAGCACUGCAAUGAAUAGAAAUGAAUCUGAAUAAAAACAUAUUCAAUAAACAGGUUGUCCAAGAUAAUGUUU
Molecule: long non-coding RNA, 2488 nt
Organism: Malaya genurostris
Lineage: Eukaryota; Metazoa; Arthropoda; Insecta; Diptera; Culicidae
Exons: 6
Source: RefSeq, a predicted model, not a curated record